Molecule: small RNA, 120 nt
Filed under: Cyanistes caeruleus (blue tit)
Lineage: Eukaryota; Metazoa; Chordata; Aves; Passeriformes; Paridae
Description: TUC338 (ENSCCEG00000018278.1)
Source: RNAcentral
UUAUUUAUUCAUAGAACAUGAACAGCGCAGGAAGCUGAACUGAAAGCUUACUCCACGGCUUUUUGCCAAUGGUCCUGCUCCCUACCCAGGAAGAAUGUUGGAUAUUUUCAGAAAUAAGAA